UACGGAGGGGGCGAGUGUUGUUCGGAAUUACUGGGCGUAAAGGGCGCGCAGGCGGCCUGGCAAGUCGAGUGUGAAAUCCCUCGGCUUAACUGAGGAAUGGCGCUCGAAACUACCUCGCUGGAGGGCGGGAGAGGGAAGUGGAACUCUCGGUGUAGGGGUGAAAUGCGUAGAUAUAGGAAGGAACACCAGUGGCGAAGGCGACCACCUGGACUGAUACUGACACUGAGGUGCGAAAGCGUGGGGAGCAAACAGG
Molecule: ribosomal RNA, 253 nt
Filed under: uncultured bacterium
Lineage: Bacteria
Description: partial 16S ribosomal RNA
Rfam family: Bacterial small subunit ribosomal RNA
Source: RNAcentral